This 544-nucleotide ribosomal RNA is filed under the name uncultured crenarchaeote. RNAcentral describes it as "bacterial SSU rRNA". It matches the Rfam family "Archaeal small subunit ribosomal RNA", at positions 869 to 1412 of the family's 1478-position model. The record is from RNAcentral. Lineage: Archaea; Thermoproteati; Thermoproteota.
CGGGGGAGCACCACAAGGGGUGAAGCCUGCGGUUCAAUUGGAGUCAACGCCAGGAAUCUUACCCGGGGAGACAGCAGAAUGAAGGUCAAGCUGAAGACUUUACCAGACAAGCUGAGAGGAGCUGCAUGGCCGUCGCCAGCUCGUGCCGUGAGAUGUCCUGUUAAGUCAGGAAACGAGCGAGAUCCCUGCCUUUAGUUGCCACCAUUAUUCUCAGGAAUAGUGGGGCCAACUAGAGGGACUGCCAUUGUUAAAAUGGAGGAAGGAAGGGGCUACGGCAGGUCAGUAUGGCCCGAAACCCUGGGGCCACACGCGGGCUGCAAUGAUAGUGACAAUGGGCUCCGAGUCCGAAAGGAUGAGGUAAUCUUUAAACACUAUCACAGUAAUGACUGAGGGCUGCAACUCGCCCUCACGAAUAUGGAAUCCCUAGUAACCGCGUGUCAUAACCGCGCAGUGAAUACGUCCCUGCUCCUUGCACACACCGCCCGUCGUUUCAUUGAAGUUGGGUUUUCGCGAGGUGAUGUCAUUUUGGUGUUAUCGAACGUGA